CUACGGGGCGCAGCAGUAGGGAAUAUUGCACAAUGGGCGCAAGCCUGAUGCAGCCAUGCCGCGUGUAUGAAGAAGGCCUUCGGGUUGUAAAGUACUUUCAGCGGGGAGGAAGGGAGUAAAGUUAAUACCUUUGCUCAUUGACGUUACCCGCAGAAGAAGCACCGGCUAACUCCGUGCCAGCAGCCGCGGUAAUACGGAGGGUGCAAGCGUUAAUCGGAAUUACUGGGCGUAAAGCGCACGCAGGCGGUUUGUUAAGUCAGAUGUGAAAUCCCCGGGCUCAACCUGGGAACUGCAUCUGAUACUGGAAAGCUUGAGUCUCGUAGAGGGGGGUAGAAUUCCAGGUGUAGCGGUGAAAUGCGUAGAGAUCUGGAGGAAUACCGGUGGCGAAGGCGGCCCCCUGGACGAAGACUGACGCUCAGGUGCGAAAGCGUGGGGAGCAAACAGGAUUAGAUACCCCGGUAGUC
RNAcentral lists this ribosomal RNA (464 nucleotides) under uncultured bacterium. RNAcentral describes it as "partial 16S ribosomal RNA". It matches the Rfam family "Bacterial small subunit ribosomal RNA", at positions 339 to 795 of the family's 1533-position model. The record is from RNAcentral.